UGCAGUCGAACGAUGAAGCCCUUCGGGGUGGAUUAGUGGCGAACGGGUGAGUAACACGUGGGCAAUCUGCCCUUCACUCUGGGACAAGCCCUGGAAACGGGGUCUAAUACCGGAUAACACUUCCGUCCUCCUGGACGGUGGUUAAAAGCUCCGGCGGUGAAGGAUGAGCCCGCGGCCUAUCAGCUUGUUGGUGAGGUAAUGGCUCACCAAGGCGACGACGGGUAGCCGGCCUGAGAGGGCGACCGGCCACACUGGGACUGAGACACGGCCCAGACUCCUACGGGAGGCAGCAGUGGGGAAUAUUGCACAAUGGGCGAAAGCCUGAUGCAGCGACGCCGCGUGAGGGAUGACGGCCUUCGGGUUGUAAACCUCUUUCAGCAGGGAAGAAGCGAAAGUGACGGUACCUGCAGAAGAAGCGCCGGCUAACUACGUGCCAGCAGCCGCGGUAAUACGUAGGGCGCAAGCGUUGUCCGGAAUUAUUGGGCGUAAAGAGCUCGUAGGCGGCUUGUCACGUCGGUUGUGAAAGCCCGGGGCUUAACCCCGGGUCUGCAGUCGAUACGGGCAGGCUAGAGUGUGGUAGGGGAGAUCGGAAUUCCUGGUGUAGCGGUGAAAUGCGCAGAUAUCAGGAGGAACACCGGUGGCGAAGGCGGAUCUCUGGGCCAUUACUGACGCUGAGGAGCGAAAGCGUGGGGAGCGAACAGGAUUAGAUACCCUGGUAGUCCACGCCGUAAACGGUGGGAACUAGGUGUUGGCGACAUUCCACGUCGUCGGUGCCGCAGCUAACGCAUUAAGUUCCCCGCCUGGGGAGUACGGCCGCAAGGCUAAAACUCAAAGGAAUUGACGGGGGGCCGCACAAGCAGCGGAGCAUGUGGCUUAAU
This 878-nucleotide ribosomal RNA is filed under the name Streptomyces sp. RNAcentral's name for it is "bacterial SSU rRNA". It matches the Rfam family "Bacterial small subunit ribosomal RNA", at positions 56 to 950 of the family's 1533-position model. The record is from RNAcentral. Lineage: Bacteria; Bacillati; Actinomycetota; Actinomycetes; Kitasatosporales; Streptomycetaceae.